RNAcentral lists this transfer RNA (74 nucleotides) under Klebsiella variicola. RNAcentral describes it as "tRNA-Met". It matches the Rfam family "tRNA". Rfam says of the family: Transfer RNA (tRNA) molecules are approximately 80 nucleotides in length. Their secondary structure includes four short double-helical elements and three loops (D, anti-codon, and T loops). Lineage: Bacteria; Pseudomonadati; Pseudomonadota; Gammaproteobacteria; Enterobacterales; Enterobacteriaceae. The record is from RNAcentral.
GGGUAUCGCCAAGCGGUAAGGCACCAUCACUCAUAAUGAUGGGGUCACAGGUUCGAAUCCCGUCGUAGCCACCA